UUACUUACCUGGCCUGGGAGAUACCAUGAUCAUGAAGGUGGUUUUCCUAGGAUGAGGCUGGUCCAUUGCACUCCAGAUGUGCUGACCCCUGCGACCUCCCCAACUGCAGAAACCUCCACUGCAUAAUUUGGGAUAGUGGGGGAGGAAAAAAAAAUGAUUGUCAAGUGUCAGAACACAGACCCUCC
The sequence is a small nuclear RNA, 185 nucleotides long. Its record names the gene U1. It matches the Rfam family "U1 spliceosomal RNA". Rfam says of the family: U1 is a small nuclear RNA (snRNA) component of the spliceosome (involved in pre-mRNA splicing). Its 5' end forms complementary base pairs with the 5' splice junction, thus defining the 5' donor site of an intron. There are significant differences in sequence and secondary structure between metazoan and yeast U1 snRNAs, the latter being much longer (568 nucleotides as compared to 164 nucleotides in human). The record is from Ensembl.